GAUGAACGCUGGCGGCGUGCCUAAUACAUGCAAGUCGAGCGAACGGACGAGAAGCUUGCUUCUCUGAUGUUAGCGGCGGACGGGUGAGUAACACGUGGAUAACCUACCUAUAAGACUGGGAUAACCUCGGGAAACCGUAGCUAAUACCGGAUAAUAUUUUGAACCGCAUGGUUCAAAAGUGAAAGACGGUCUUGCUGUCACUUAUGGAUGGAUCCGCGCUGCAUUAGCUAGUUGGUAAGGUAACGGCUUACCAAGGCAACGAUGCAUAGCCGACCUGAGAGGGUGAUCGGCCACACUGGAACUGGGACACGGUCCAGACUCCUACGGGAGGCAGCAGUAGGGAAUCUUCCGCAAUGGGCGAAAGCCUGACGGAGCAACGCCGCGUGAGUGAUGAAGGUCUUCGGAUCGUAAAACUCUGUUAUUAGGGAAGAACAUAUGUGUAAGUAACUGUGCACAUCUUGACGGUACCUAAUCAGAAAGCCACGGCUAACUACGUG
Molecule: ribosomal RNA, 497 nt
Filed under: uncultured bacterium
Lineage: Bacteria
Description: partial 16S ribosomal RNA
Rfam family: Bacterial small subunit ribosomal RNA
Source: RNAcentral